GUGAUCUAGCCAUGGGCAGGUUGAAGGUUGAGUAACAUCAACUGGAGGACCGAACCGACUAAUGUUGAAAAAUUAGCGGAUGACUUGUGGCUAGGGGUGAAAGGCCAAUCAAACUCGGAGAUAGCUGGUUCUCCCCGAAAGCUAUUUAGGUAGCGCCUCGGACGAACACUACUGGGGGUAGAGCACUGUUAAGGCUAGGGGGUCAUCCCGACUUACCAACCCUUUGCAAACUCCGAAUACCAGUAAGUGAUAUCCGGGAGACACACGGCGGGUGCUAACGUCCGUCGUGGAGAGGGAAACAACCCAGACCGCCAGCUAAGGUCCCAAAGUUAUCGCUAAGUGGGAAACGAUGUGGGAAGGCUCAGACAGCCAGGAUGUUGGCUUAGAAGCAGCCAUCAUUUAAAGAAAGCGUAAUAGCUCACUGGUCGAGUCGGCCUGCGCGGAAGAUGUAACGGGGCUAAGCGAUACACCGAAGCUGCGGCAUCAGUCUUAGGACUGUUGGGUAGGGGAGCGUUCUGUAAGUGGUUGAAGGUGUGCCGGGAGGCAUGCUGGACAUAUCAGAAGUGCGAAUGCUGACAUGAGUAACGAUAAAGGGGGUGAAAAACCUCCUCGCCGGAAGACCAAGGGUUCCUGUCCAACGUUAAUCGGGGCAGGGUAAGUCGGCCCCUAAGGCGAGGCCGAAAGGCGUAGUCGAUGGGAAACGGGUUAAUAUUCCCGUACUGCUGAUAACUGCGAUGGGGGGACGGAGAAGGCUAGGUGGGCCAGGCGACGGUUGUCCUGGUUCAAGUGUGUAGGCGGAUGGUUUAGGUAAAUCCGGACCGUUGUUAACGCUGAGACACGAUGUCGAGCUACUACGGUAGUGAAGUCAUUGAUGCCAUGCUUCCGGGAAAAGCCUCUAAGCUUCAGGUUAUCAGGAACCGUACCCCAAACCGACACAGGUGGUCGGGUAGAGAAUACCAAGGCGCUUGAGAGAACUCGGGUGAAGGAACUAGGCAAAAUGGUACCGUAACUUCGGGAGAAGGUACGCUCCCAGCGGUGAUGAGGCUUGCCCUCUAAGCUGCCGGGAGUCGCAGAUACCAGGUGGCUGCAACUGUUUAUUAAAAACACAGCACUGUGCAAAAUCGAAAGAUGACGUAUACGGUGUGACGCCUGCCCGGUGCCGGAAGGUUAAUUGAUGGGGUUAUCUUCGGAGAAGCUCUUGAUCGAAGCCCCGGUAAACGGCGGCCGUAACUAUAACGGUCCUAAGGUAGCGAAAUUCCUUGUCGGGUAAGUUCCGACCUGCACGAAUGGCGUAAUGAUGGCCACGCUGUCUCCACCCGAGACUCAGUGAAAUUGAAAUCGCAGUGAAGAUGCUGUGUACCCGCGGCUAGACGGAAAGACCCCGUGAACCUUUACUACAGCUUGGCACUGAACAUUGAGCCUACAUGUGUAGGAUAGGUGGGAGGCUUUGAAGCAUUGUCGCCAGAUGAUGUGGAGCCAUCCUUGAAAUACCACCCUUGUAUGUUUGAUGUUCUAACUUAGGUCCCUAAUCGGGAUUGAGGACAGUGCCUGGUGGGUAGUUUGACUGGGGCGGUCUCCUCCCAAAGCGUAACGGAGGAGCACGAAGGUGGGCUAAUCACGGUCGGACAUCGUGAGGUUAGUGCAAUGGCAUAAGCCCGCUUGACUGCGAGAAUGACGGUUCGAGCAGGUGCGAAAGCAGGUCAUAGUGAUCCGGUGGUUCUGAAUGGAAGGGCCAUCGCUCAACGGAUAAAAGGUACUCCGGGGAUAACAGGCUGAUACCGCCCAAGAGUUCAUAUCGACGGCGGUGUUUGGCACCUCGAUGUCGGCUCAUCACAUCCUGGGGCUGAAGUCGGUCCCAAGGGUAUGGCUGUUCGCCAUUUAAAGUGGUACGCGAGCUGGGUUUAGAACGUCGUGAGACAGUUCGGUCCCUAUCUGCCGUGGGCGUUGGAUGAUUGAGAGGGGCUGCUCCUAGUACGAGAGGACCGGAGUGGACGAACCUCUGGUGUUCGGGUUGUGUCGCCAGACGCAUUGCCCGGUAGCUAAGUUCGGCAUCGAUAACCGCUGAAAGCAUCUAAGCGGGAAGCGAGCCUCGAGAUGAGUCAUCCCUAGAGAUUACAUCUCUCUAAAGGGUUGUUGAAGACUACGACGUAGAUAGGCAGGGUGUGUAAGCGCUGUGAGGCGUUGAGCUAACCUGUACUAAUUGCCCGUGAGGCUUAACCAU
This 2221-nucleotide non-coding RNA is filed under the name Veronia pacifica. RNAcentral's name for it is "Enterovibrio sp. sw014 Bacterial large subunit ribosomal RNA". It matches the Rfam family "Bacterial large subunit ribosomal RNA", at positions 725 to 2925 of the family's 2925-position model. The record is from Rfam by way of RNAcentral. Lineage: Bacteria; Pseudomonadati; Pseudomonadota; Gammaproteobacteria; Vibrionales; Vibrionaceae.